UACGAAGGGGGCUAGCGUUGCUCGGAAUUACUGGGCGUAAAGGGAGCGUAGGCGGACAGUUAAGUCAGAGGUGAAAGCCCAGGGCUCAACCCUGGAAUUGCCUUUGAUACUGAUUGUCUUGAGUAUGGGAGAGGUAUGCGGAACUCCGAGUGUAGAGGUGAAAUUCGUAGAUAUUCGGAAGAACACCAGUGGCGAAGGCGGCAUACUGGCCCAUUACUGACGCUGAGGCUCGAAAGCGUGGGGAGCAAACAGG
RNAcentral lists this ribosomal RNA (253 nucleotides) under Caulobacter sp. RNAcentral describes it as "partial 16S ribosomal RNA". It matches the Rfam family "Bacterial small subunit ribosomal RNA", at positions 524 to 776 of the family's 1533-position model. Lineage: Bacteria; Pseudomonadati; Pseudomonadota; Alphaproteobacteria; Caulobacterales; Caulobacteraceae. The record is from RNAcentral. RNAcentral also lists the same sequence under 2 other names.